AAUGUGGAAUUCGCCCUUGGACUACCAGUGGCGAAAGCGCCUGACGAGGACUUGCUCGUCGGCCAAGGACCAAAGUUGGGGUAUCGAUAACGAUUAGAGACCGUUGUAGUCCCAACCACAAACUUUGCUGACUGGCAGUGUGCGGCGUGCGCUUCGGCGGCGCCGUGCGGGGCCUAGGCGAAAGCAUAGUCUUCGAGUCUCGUGGAGAGUAUGCACGCAAGUGUGAAAUUUAAAGGAAUUGGCGGGAUCCCAUACAGGGACUGGGACACGCGAUUUAAUUUGAUUCAACACGGGAAAACUUACCAGGGCCGCGACGCUUGUGAGCCGCCUUGCUGGGGCAACAAGGCUGCAGGCCGGCGGCGAUUGCGUCUAAGGUUGUGCAUGGCCACCCGAAGCCGGUGGAGUGGUUUUUUGGUUAAGUCCGUCAAUCGGCGAGACCCAAGCCUCCAGUUGUGCUGGAGGGACCGGACUCGCAAGGGUCAGGUAGGUCGGUCUAAGGUAGGUCCGUGAUGCAAA
Molecule: ribosomal RNA, 516 nt
Filed under: microcytid environmental sample
Lineage: Eukaryota; Endomyxa; Ascetosporea; Mikrocytida; Mikrocytiidae
Description: SSU rRNA
Rfam family: Eukaryotic small subunit ribosomal RNA
Source: RNAcentral